CACUACGUGCGGGUUUAUGUAUU
RNAcentral lists this non-coding RNA (23 nucleotides) under Arabidopsis thaliana (thale cress). Lineage: Eukaryota; Viridiplantae; Streptophyta; Magnoliopsida; Brassicales; Brassicaceae. The record is from RNAcentral.